CUGAAGUUACAGGAAAUAAAAAGUACAAAGGAUGAAUUCUUUUACUGAUUUAUUGCUAAAACAUAACCGAAUUUUUACCUAGAAAACAUUUUUACCCUAGCUAAGGCAUAUGCAGUGUUUCUCAUGGUACAUAAAAGCUUCGUCCCAAAAUUAUGAGUCUUGAAAUCUAUGGUAAUCCACUGUUACUUGCCUUUUUCCUAGUAUCUCGCAUAUGCUUCUAUAAAUAGCUUGCUUAUCUCAAUUUUCUUUAUUAAACCAGGGAUAGGAACAGCUGGAUAAUAUGAAUCAUCUCACACCAGUGGAGGCAAUAACUUGACUCCAGGGGCUUGCUCUGGCAGCUGAAAGAAGAAGAAAAGGGGUAGGAGUGUCAGGAGAGGGCCAUUGCAGAGUAAAGAUGAUCAGACAGAACAUUCUACCCUCUCUCAGAUGCAAAUCAACCAUCUCCACUGCUUCAGAGCCGCUCUACCUGCUUGGGGUCUCUGCUAUUCUCGCGCACCUCAGCACUUCUAUUCUUCU
This is a non-coding RNA of Coturnix japonica (Japanese quail), 516 nucleotides long. The record is from RefSeq and is a predicted model, not a curated record. Lineage: Eukaryota; Metazoa; Chordata; Aves; Galliformes; Phasianidae.